Molecule: ribosomal RNA, 253 nt
Filed under: uncultured bacterium
Lineage: Bacteria
Description: partial 16S ribosomal RNA
Rfam family: Bacterial small subunit ribosomal RNA
Source: RNAcentral
UACGAAGGGGGCUAGCGUUGCUCGGAAUCACUGGGCGUAAAACGCACGUAGGCGGACUCUUAAGUCGGUGGUGAAAUCCUGGAGCUCAACUCCAGAACUGCCUUCGAUACUGAGAGUCUCGAGUCCGGGAGAGGUGAGUGGAACUGCGAGUGUAGAGGUGAAAUUCGUAGAUAUUCGCAAGAACACCAGUGGCGAAGGCGGCUCACUGGCCCGGUACUGACGCUGAGGUGCGAAAGUGUGGGGAGCGAACAGG